GGAUUUUUGACACAGGGGGCAACCCUGAUCCAGCCAUCCCUCGUGUGUGAUGAAGACCUUCGGGUUGUAAAGCACUUUUGUAAUGGAAGAAAUUGCUCUGCCUAAUUCCUAGAGCUCCUGACGGUACCUGCAGAAUAAUCCCCCGCUAACGGAGUGGCAGCAGCCGCGGUAAUACGUAGGGUGCAAGCGUUAAUCGGAAUUACUGGGCGUAAAGCGUGCGCAGGCGGUUCGGCAAGAAGGAUGUGAAAUCCCAGGGCUUAACCUUGGAACUGCAUUCUUAACUGCCGGGCUAGAGUAUGUCAGAGGGGGGUAGAAUUCCGCGUGUAGCAGUGAAAUGCGUAGAGAUGCGGAGGAAUACCGAUGGCGAAGGCAGCCCCCUGGGAUAAUACUGACGCUCAUGCACGAAAGCGUGGGGAGCAAAC
This 422-nucleotide ribosomal RNA is filed under the name uncultured bacterium. RNAcentral's name for it is "partial 16S ribosomal RNA". It matches the Rfam family "Bacterial small subunit ribosomal RNA", at positions 359 to 773 of the family's 1533-position model. The record is from RNAcentral.